GGGCCCGCACAAGCAGUGGAGCAUGUGGUUUAAUUCGAUGCAACGCGAAGAACCUUACCCAGGUUUGACAUGUAGUGGACAGUGCUGGAAACAGCAUCUUCCUUCGGGACCAUUACACAGGUGCUGCAUGGCUGUCGUCAGCUCGUGCCGUGAGGUGUUGGGUUAAGUCCCGCAACGAGCGCAACCCUUGUCACUAGUUGCCAACACGUAAUGGUGGGGACUCUAGUGAGACUGCCCGGGUGAACCGGGAGGAAGGUGAGGAUGACGUCAAGUCAGCAUGGCCCUUAUAUCUGGGGCUACACACGUGCUACAAUGGCUGGUACAGAAGGCAGCGAAGCCGCGAGGUGGAGCAAAUCCCAAAAGCCAGUCUCAGUUCGGAUUGCAGCCUGCAACUCGGCUGCAUG
This 404-nucleotide ribosomal RNA is filed under the name uncultured bacterium. Its description in RNAcentral is "bacterial SSU rRNA". It matches the Rfam family "Bacterial small subunit ribosomal RNA", at positions 917 to 1322 of the family's 1533-position model. The record is from RNAcentral.